This 71-nucleotide transfer RNA is filed under the name Asiagomphus septimus. RNAcentral describes it as "tRNA-Met". The record is from RNAcentral. Lineage: Eukaryota; Metazoa; Arthropoda; Insecta; Odonata; Aeshnidae.
AAAAAGAUAAGCUAAUUCAAGCUAGUAGGCUCAUACCCUUUUUAUGGAAGUAUUAAAUCUUCCUCUUUUUA